UAGGGAAUCUUCGGCAAUGGACGAAAGUCUGACCGAGCAACGCCGCGUGAGUGAAGAAGGUUUUCGGAUCGUAAAACUCUGUUGUUAGAGAAGAACAAGGACGUUAGUAACUGAACGUCCCCUGACGGUAUCUAACCAGAAAGCCACGGCUAACUACGUGCCAGCAGCCGCGGUAAUACGUAGGUGGCAAGCGUUGUCCGGAUUUAUUGGGCGUAAAGCGAGCGCAGGCGGUUUCUUAAGUCUGAUGUGAAAGCCCCCGGCUCAACCGGGGAGGGUCAUUGGAAACUGGGAGACUUGAGUGCAGAAGAGGAGAGUGGAAUUCCAUGUGUAGCGGUGAAAUGCGUAGAUAUAUGGAGGAACACCAGUGGCGAGGGCGGCUCUCUGGUCUGUAACUGACGCUGAGGCUCGAAAGCGUGGGGAGCAAACAGG
Molecule: ribosomal RNA, 429 nt
Filed under: Gemmatimonadota bacterium
Lineage: Bacteria; Pseudomonadati; Gemmatimonadota
Description: Gemmatimonadetes bacterium partial 16S ribosomal RNA
Rfam family: Bacterial small subunit ribosomal RNA
Source: RNAcentral